AUUGAACGCUGGCGGCAUGCCUAACACAUGCAAGUCGAACGGCAGCAUGAAUAGGGGUAACCUUAUUUGAUGGCGAGUGGCGGACGGGUGAGUAAUAUGUAGGAAUCUACCUAGAGGAGGGGGAUAACUUGGGGAAACCCAAGCUAAUACCACAUAAGCCCUACGGGGGAAAGCAGGGGAUCGAAAGACCUUGCGCCUUAUGAUGAGCCUACAUCGGAUUAGCUAGUUGGUGGGGUAAAGGCCUACCAAGGCGACGAUCCGUAGCUGGUCUGAGAGGAUGAUCAGCCACACUGGGACUGAGACACGGCCCAGACUCCUACGGGAGGCAGCAGUGGGGAAUAUUGGACAAUGGGCGAAAGCCUGAUCCAGCAAUGCCGCGUGUGUGAAGAAGGCCUUAGGGUUGUAAAGCACUUUCAGUAGGGAGGAAGGUUGUAAUGCUAAUAUCAUUGCAAAUUGACGUUACCUACAGAAGAAGCACCGGCUAACUCUGUGCCAGCAGCCGCCGUAA
RNAcentral lists this ribosomal RNA (508 nucleotides) under uncultured bacterium. Its description in RNAcentral is "partial 16S ribosomal RNA". It matches the Rfam family "Bacterial small subunit ribosomal RNA", at positions 30 to 523 of the family's 1533-position model. The record is from RNAcentral.